AGCAGGAAGGAUGCUUGUGUCUUACUCUGCAGCCUAUGAAUGGUACCUUCAAAAUAUGCCCCUCCUCCUAUUUCUGGAGAAAUGAGUAGGAAUAAUGCCACUCUGCAGUUGGAGAUUUUGAAGGUGAGCGUGUUUGAUAUUCUGUAUUUAGCCUUUACAUCCGUAUUUCUAACUUUACCCCAGACUGAAUUGGAUAGAAUUUUACGUUUUCCUGUAGACAGAGGCAUCUCCUUUUACUUUGGUGUAUUUCCCAUCAUCGGUAUUUAUAACUGAAUAUCCCAUGAUCCCUCAAGUAUUUAUCAUUAACCUAUCAUUUACUAUUGUUUGGAAAGCCAUCUGAGCAUUUGUCUCCACUCAGCCACCAUCCCAGAGACACCAGUAAGAGCUGUAUUACUUAAAAGAGGUCAUAGCUCAGUUACCUUCUUUAAAAAUAUUAUGUAUAAAUUAUUCCAACUAUCUAACCCCCCAUUGAAGUUCUCAAAUUGAUUAUCCCCAUUCACAAAUUCACCCAGGGAAGCUGGGGGCACUUCUCUUAAUAAUUGCCCUUUCAUUUAGAUCAUCUUGAAUUGUCUCAACCUCAAGUUAUAUCAGUUACUACAAAUUCCAGUUAAAAUUCAAACUGUACUUUUAACCUGACCAGGCUGAAAACAUCUGUUGUACAUGCUAUUAAAAGGUUCCAGCUGCCCCUGACUGCCUUGUAUUAGGGUCUGAUUUUUUUAAAUGUCAGGAGAAAAGGGAGAAUGCAAAGAUGUCUUACCAGAAUGCAUAACUCAGGGGAAAACUUAUGCCAGAUAGAAUUCACUAACAGAUGAUACUAAAUGUCUUUCUUUCUGUCUUGGUCAGUUCAGUUGGAAUAUUGUGCUGGUUUUCUUCUUGAGAUCAGGUUGAUUUAGUUAUAUUUAUUUGAGAUUUUCUUUAAUUUUUUCUUAGUGGCUAGAUGGUGUCCCCACCACUGCUUGUCUGCCCUCCCAGGGUUAAAGACCCAUAAGGUCACUCAGGCCUGAGAAGCAGACAUUGUUUUUAGCAUCAUCAAGAAGAGGGAUUGUGGUGGCAGGGCAGUAAUUGCCCCUACCCACACUCAUAUCAGAGUCACAUAGUGGUCCCUUCCUGCCUCCUUCAGGUCGCAAGUCUGACAUCUCCCUUUUGAAGGCAGCAACAUAGGUGGGAGCAGGUAGGGACUGGCCAUCCAUGUCAGAGGCUGAAACCAAGAGAAGUGGGACGAGGAAGGAGCAUAUGGUGCAAAGAUAGAGGGUGAGUCUAGGAAUGAGAUCCUGUGUCUGAGAAGAUGCUUUCAGCACCAAGGAAUAGAACUCCCAACACAAAUGAUUAAGGAACAAGAAAGCUUAUUUCAUGUGGUUGUUAGUGAUGCACUCAGUGUUUCUUGUGCCUUCCUCAACACGCUGGCUUUGUCCUCAGGCUGGUGGCUGGGUGGCCUCAGCAGCCCCAGGUAAUCUUGACAACGUAGCACCUGAGAAGGAGGAUGGCCUUUUCCAUAGCUGUCUCUUUACAUGGAGAAAACUUGCCUCUGAAUCCGCAGGAGACUUACAUUAUUUUUCAUUGGCUAGUUGGGUUGCAUACCCAUUUCGUAGCUACUAAUCAAUAAGAGGGUGGAGUUACCAAGAUCUGUUUGGACUAACUGUUGGAGUGAACUCAAUAUUGGGGGAUUAGUCAAAGUUCUAUAAGUGUGCGCCUCGUGUUAUUAUCUCUUCUAUGUUAUCUUAUUAAUUAGAUAGAUUAAUUAUACCUAGGUAUGUAAAACAUUUAAUAACUGGUAUGUAAUAUAAAAAUAAAAAUACAGUCCCUUUUAUUUCUAUAGCUAAACUAUAGAUACUACAUAUAAAUUAAAUUAUAUUAAUACGUACUAUAUAUAACAUAUAUACCUAUUACGUACUAUAGUAUAUAUCAUAUAUACUACUGCUAUUAUAUAUAGACUGUUAUAUAUAUAAUAUAAACUAAAUGUAUAUAACCUAACAGUUUCUUCCAAAUGCCAUAUGUUAUAACACAAAUCCUUCAUCCCAUCAAUGUAAUAAUUUCCUAUGUUUUUGUUUUUGUUUUUGUUGUUGGUUUUUUGAAAUUGUUGGUCUGCUCUUUUGGCUGAUGCUGUAUUCACUAGCUAAAUGCUGCUUUGCCAGAGCCAGGGUUUGAUAAGUGCUUAGGGCCUUUCCAACAUCUUUCACAUUGUGUUCAUAGCCAUUAGGGGACUGGGAUUCUCAUCAGAACUUGACUGGGGCUCAUAACUUUGCCCCUUCUUAGCAGUGAGCUCUCUAAUUGUCCCUAGGCCUUGAAUCCUCUCCUUUAAUCUUCUCUCCCCCAGAGUCAGGUUGGUAGCUGGGUGCUGAUCCCAUGCAGGCACUGUUCUGGGGGUUGGGGUCCAAAGAGACAGGCAGAGAGGAGGAGGCAUGGGUUCAAGAUGGCAGGUGAGGAACACAUUGGUCUUUCCUGGUUUCGGGAGCUGGACUUGGAGCUUUGGCCUUUUCCUAGAGGAGAGGAAACUCCAAUGACUAUGUGCCCCACCCACACCAGUCAUGGGAGGGUGGAUGCUGUUGAGAAGGAGGCAACUGACUGAGGUGCUCUCUAUGAAGUGGAACAAAGGCAGAGGAGGGUAGACAAGGAAAAGGGACUUGAGCAAAAAAGAAGGAAGAGCUGUGGUUUGAAUUGGGGUGAUGGGCUGUGUGGGUGAGAUGUGGGAGAGAGGAGGCAAUGAGGCUCCCCUUCCCAGAGGUCACCUGAGGGGGCCAGGGAGCUCAUACAGCCACUUACUGGGAUAUCUGGCAGAACUCCUUCCAAGACUGGUUCACAGUGUAAGGAAUGGCUGCUCCCCCCCAGGGAUGGAUCAUCAACUAAAGCAAGGUGCCCAAGCUCGUCUGGUGGCCCUGAUCUGACGUCCAGCUAUUUCCUGGGGCCCUGGACAUUCUGCAACUACUCCUGGAGCCUGGCAGCGUUCUGGGUGCAUGUAAAUAGCUUGGCUGAAUGGCCACCCCCUCCCACCCAAAGGCUUUUGAACCAGAAAGCAAAUUCUCAACUCAUUAAAGCAAUGGAGGACUGCUGUGGAUCCAUAGCCAAAAUAGAAAAGCACCUUGAUAUUGUGGCAAUGUGUGGUUUCUGAGAUAAGCCACAUGUGCUAGAAUUUACAUUAUUAAUCCCACCAUAUAUGGAGUUUUACUGUUUAAGGGCCAGUAUUGAGGUCUUCACUUAUUUUUUUGGCUGCAGCAUGUGGAAGUUCCUGGACCAGGGAUCAAACCCGUGCCACAGCAGUGACCCAAGUGCUGCAGUGACAAUGCCAGGUCCAUAACUUGCUACGUCAUGAGGGAAGUUCCCAAUAUGGAAGUCUUUAAAUACUUGAAUAUUUUAUACUGAAUAUGGAAUAGAAGUUGUGGUUCCAUUUCUCCUCAUCCCUGAAGGUGCCUUCUGGAGGAGGGUGUUGAAUUAUAUAGCUUGAACCUGAAUAUAGCUUUAUUGAGUAUUCUGAAGCUAUUUUUUUUUCUUGUGGAGGGAGAAGGAUGGGCCACCUCCUCACCCUUUAUUAGAAUAGCCAUUGAGCUCUCUCCAGUGUGGAAGGUGGCAUCCUUAACUUGACUGCUGACCAGAAAACUGGCAUCUCCUGAGGGUCCCAGUCCCUUCCCUCCCUGCUGUGGAGUACAUCCCUUGUCAUUCUGUUACACUUGUGUUUUUUUUUUUUUUUAAUAAAGUAAUGUAUUCUCCUCUGCUCAGGAACUCAAAAGUAGAUGUUCUAUAGCAAUGUGAACUGUGAAAGUAUAUCCUGUAAUUUAUGGUCAAUGUGCUUUGAAGGUGAAAAACACCCUCUGGUCAUACAUUACUGUAGCUUCUGUCUGUCCUUUUAUCCACUUUCCCCCCUAUUUUGCUAGGUGACUUGAAUCACCUGCAAAAGAGAUCUGAAGAGGGAAGGAGAAAUGGAAGAGGCACACUGGAAAAAUUCUUCAUUUAUUCUUAACUUAAACUCCAAUUGACUUGCUUCCUAUGGGGCUGGAGACUACAAUGGGAACGUGGAAUUGAUCCAGUUAGCCUCCAACAUUCAGAGAAAGGGAUUGGUGCCAUGGAAAGAUCAGUAAACGGGGACAGAGAGCUGAAUGCUAACUGUGGUUUUCUGAGUCCCUUAGCUUCUCUAUGAUUCAGUUCAUACUUCGGACAGCUCGUUGUCUCUUUUUGCUAGUUUCUAUUUCUGGCCAUUCUGUGGUUUUCUUUUCUAUUUCUUGUAAGGCUUCAGAACGUAAUAGAUAGAAAAUGCCUUGGGACCACGUAUUGGUUAAAACACUCAUCCCAUAGUUUUGUGGCUUACAACAAAAGCCAUUUUAUUUAGUUGGCAGUUCUUUGAACUGUUCAGCUCCUCUGACCUGGGGGAUGGUGGUGCUCAGCUGGUCAUGGCUGGCUCUCUCACACAUCUGCUGUAGGCUGGCAGGUCUGCCUGAUGGUCUACAAUGGCCUCCCUUGUGUGUCUAGAGGUUAAUAGGCUGACAGCCAGGGUCUGGAUGCCUGUUGGCUGGGGUGCUCUCCAGCAUGCUUUGGUUCUCUUCCACAUGACUUUUCAUCCUGCAGCAGACUAUCUUGGACUAAAUCACAUGAUGCUCUCUGGGUUUCAAGUUCAGCAGGUGCUCCAGCAUUUUUCAAGCUCCUGAUUACCUCAUAUUUGCUAAUGUUCCAUUGGCCAAAACAAAUACACUGGCCAGUCAAGAUACAAAGAAAGAAGAAAUAGAUUUUACUUCUCGGUGGAAGGGAGUGGAAGUAUUUAUGACCGUUUGUGCAGUCUAUCACAGAAAAACAAUGGCAGAUAAUUUUGAGUAUUUAUUAUGUGCCAACCAUUAUGCUAAUUACUAGAGUUACAUGAUUUCAUGACCCUUGACCUCAGUGAAGUCCUACAUUUUUGGUGCUUCCAUUAAAAAAAGAAAAUAACUAUAUUAAAAUCCUGCUCUGCUUUAUAUAGCAGAUAUGGUGCAGAAAUAUUUCUUGUAAAUAGAAAUUUUUGUAGCUUGGAUUAUACUUUCAGCACAAUAGGGGAGUUGGCUCUUUCAAGGAACCCUGUUGUGAAUCCUUUUUGAAAGUAAAGAAUCCUUUCGUAACACCCCAAUUCACCUCCUGUUUAGCUGCUUGGCAGGUCAACACAAAGGGACUUCAAAAUAUAGAUGAUGUAGCAAGGGCUCCAACUUUGGAGCUGAACUGCUCAAGGUUCAACUCUUAAUGGCUGUGUGAUCUCAGGCAAGUACUUUAAUUUUCCUAAGCCCUUCUUUUUAAAAAAAUAUAAAAUAAGAUUAAUACAUAUCUAUAUCCAUUGGGUUAUUGCGGGGACUACAUGAAAAGAGGAAAAAAAUGUAAAGCACAAGAUAAUUUACAGAAAUUCAGUAAAUGAGUACAAUGUUUUCUUCCACAUAAGCAGAUGUUAGAUAUAGUAUAACUACCUAUUCUGUUAUUUCCCACCAUGGAUGAGAACCUUUUGAAAUAUUUGUUUUCCAGUUUUGAAAUUAGCUUGGCUUGGUUCCCUCUGUCUGUUCUUCCAAAGUGUUGCCAUAAAGCUUUAUAGCCAUUUUCAUUCCUUGAUCAAAUUCAAGAAGUAGGAUGAGGAAAUGAAUUCAUAGCUCUGUAGACAUCACUGGGUAAAAAGUCUGUACUAAACCAAUUUAAAAUAAAUUAGCUGAGAAGAAGGCAGGUGCUGCCCAGCACAGUCUCAAAAGUAAUUUUUUUAACCCAAUCAGCAGAUAACAGGAAAACAAUUAAGGAAUCGGGAAGCCAUCCCAUAGUGUCUGAGGGCCACUAACCACAAGGUGGCCAUCAGAGUGAUUGCCACUGACUUCUGUGUCACUGGGUGGAGGCUAAGUAUCAGCACAAAACAGAGGCUUGGGGUGGCCAAUCUUCCAGGGCUAUGAGAGCAUCACAAGGAAUUUAUGGCGGGUGAAUUACAAACGCAGCUCUAAUUAGGCCCAAGAGGCAAUUGCAUAAGAACUACUGAGAACAUUGCAGACUCAUAUUUGCUUCAUUCUUGGGAUUGUAUAUGAGAGCCUGGUAAUGAAUGUUCUUUAACAAUAGGAGCUGAGAGACCUUAGCUCUAAUAGCCCUCCUGAGGAUACAGCCUCUUUUAUUUGCAAUCCUGCAAAGAUCAGUGGGAUACUAUUGUUAAGCCUUGAAAUCACCCCCCAAUUUGCAUUGUGGCUCAAAUCAGAAGGGAGGACCAGAGGGGAGGAAUUUUUCCUUAACCACUACCCCUCCCCAUGCAGUACUGAACAGUAAAUAAUCUAGCACUCAUAGGUUUUAGAAUGGCUUUUUUUUGAAGGCCCAGCACAUUUUUAAAAGGGAUUUCAGGCACAGAGAGUUUUUUUGUUUGUAUUACUAAAGAAUUAUAACGUCUCUGACGCUUAUACAUUAAGUUUCUGAAUUCAGGGUUACUUUGGCUACAUGUAAUCAUUGGUUCCUCUGGUCUGCUUUUCCUAGAACUUGGUAAAAAGGUACACAUAGACUAAUUCUCUAGUUGAAAUUUGGAGAGUGGCUUAAAAAAUUCCUCCUAAGAGAUCCCUUGUGGUACAGCAGGUCAAGGAUCUGGUAUUGUCACUGUAUUGGCUCUGGUUGUUGCUGUGGCAUGGGUUUGAUUCCUAGCCCAGAAACUUCUGCAUGCUGUGGGGUG
This 6628-nucleotide long non-coding RNA is filed under the name Sus scrofa (pig). RNAcentral's name for it is "lncRNA (ENSSSCG00000060888.1)". The record is from RNAcentral. Lineage: Eukaryota; Metazoa; Chordata; Mammalia; Artiodactyla; Suidae.